Molecule: non-coding RNA, 125 nt
Organism: Brassica napus (rape)
Lineage: Eukaryota; Viridiplantae; Streptophyta; Magnoliopsida; Brassicales; Brassicaceae
Source: Rfam
GAAAUAUAAAAAUCCGUCUCUUAAUUUUUACCUAAAAAAAUUAAGAACCGGUUCUUAAAUAAGAGUUUUAAGAACCGGUUCUUAACUUUUUUAGUUAAAAGUUAAGAGACGGGUUCUUAUAUUCC